UCCCUGUUACCAGGGCAGUCUGAAUAGAAAAAUCCAACUAUUCAUAAGGGUUGCGCUCGUUGAAGGACUUAACCUAACAUCUCACGACACGAGCUGACGACGGCCAUGCAUCACCUGUCACCGCGUUCCAAAAGGCACAAACAUCUUUCGAUGUUCUUCGCGGGAUGUCAAGCCUUGGUAAGGUUCUCGGCUUAGCGUCCAAUUAAACAACACGCUCCACCGCUUGUGCGGGUCCCCGUCAAUUCCUUUGAGUUUUAGUCUUGCGACCGUACUCCCCAGGCGGGAUGCUUAACGCGUUAGCUUCGCUUCUGAGAGGGUCGAUACUCCCAAAUAGCUAGCAUCCAUCGUUUACAGCGUGGACUAC
Molecule: unclassified non-coding RNA, 364 nt
Filed under: uncultured bacterium
Lineage: Bacteria
Description: contains 16S-23S intergenic spacer region
Source: RNAcentral